This 215-nucleotide ribosomal RNA is filed under the name uncultured bacterium. Its description in RNAcentral is "partial 16S ribosomal RNA". It matches the Rfam family "Bacterial small subunit ribosomal RNA", at positions 1285 to 1500 of the family's 1533-position model. The record is from RNAcentral.
GUCUCAGUUCGGAUUGAAGGCUGAAAUUCGCCUUCAUGAAGCCGGAAUUGCUAGUAAUGGCAGGUCAGCAUACUGUCGUGAAUACGUUCCCGGGCCUUGUACACACCGCCCGUCACACCAUGAGAGUUGGGAAUACCCGAAGCCUGUGAGCUAACUUUUAGAGGCAGCAGUCGAAGGUAGAAUCAAUGAUUGGGGUGAAGUCGUAACAAGGUAAC